Molecule: ribosomal RNA, 916 nt
Filed under: uncultured euryarchaeote
Lineage: Archaea; Methanobacteriati; Methanobacteriota
Description: bacterial SSU rRNA
Rfam family: Archaeal small subunit ribosomal RNA
Source: RNAcentral
UUUCCGGUUGAUCCCGCCGGAGGUCACUGCUAUUGGAGUUCGAUUAAGCCAUGCGAGUCGAGAGGGUUAGACCCUCGGCGGACGGCUCAGUAACACGUGGGUAAUCUACCCUCAGGACAGGGAUAACCCCGGGAAACUGGGGAUAAUACCUGAUAGGUGGAGAGGUCUGGAAUGAUUCUUCGCUUAAAGCCCCGGCGCCUGAGGAUGAGCCUGCGCCUGAUUAGGUUGUUGGCGGUGUAAUGGACCACCAAGCCGAAGAUCAGUACGGGCAGUGAGAGCUGUAGCCCGGAGAUGGGGGCUGAGACACGGCCCCAGGCCCUACGGGGCGCAGCAGGCGCGAAAACUCUGCAAUGUUCGAAAGAACGACGGGGGAACUCCAAGUGCACUUGCGCAAGCAAGUGGUUUUUAGUAGUGUAAAUAGCUGUUAGAAUAAGAGCUGGGUAAGACCGGUGCCAGCCGCCGCGGUAACACCGGCAGCUCGAGUGGUGACCGCUUUUAUUGGGCCUAAAGCGUUCGUAGCCGGUUCAGUAAGUCUUUGGGCAAAUCUUCUCGCUUAACGAAAAGAAUUCCGAAGAUACUGCUGGACUUGGGGCCGAGAGAGGUUAGAGGUACUCCUGGGGUAGGGGUGAAAUCCUAUAAUCCUGGGGGGACCGCCAGUGGCGAAGGCGUCUAACCAGAGCGGACCCGACGGUGAGGGACGAAAGCCAGGGGCGCGAACGGGAUUAGAUACCCCGGUAGUCCUGGCUGUAAACGCUGCAUGCUAGGUGUUGCAUGCUCUACGGGGGCAUGCAGUGCCGAAGAGAAGUUGAUAAGCGUGCCGCCUGGGAAGUAUUAUCGCAAGGUAGAAACUUAAAGGAAUUGGCGGGGGAGCACCACAAGGGGUGGAGUCUGCGGUUCAAUUGGAUUCAACGCCGGG